CCUACGGGUGGCAGCAGUGGGGAAUAUUGGACAAUGGGGGAAACCCUGAUCCAGCGACGCCGCGUGAGUGAAGAAGUAUUUCGGUAUGUAAAGCUCUGUCAGCAGGGAAGAAAGAAAUGACGGUACCUGACCAAGAAGCCCCGGCUAACUACGUGCCAGCAGCCGCGGUAAUACGUAGGGGGCAAGCGUGAUCCGGAAUUACUGGGUGUAAAAGGAGCGUAGACGGGGAUGCAAGUCUGGAGUGAAAGGCGGGGGACCAAACCCCGGACUGCUCUGGAAACUGUGUAACUUGAGUGAAGGAGAGGUAAGCGGAAUUCCUAGUGUAGCGGUGAAAUGCGUAGAUAUUAGGAGGAACACCAGUGGCGAAGGCGGCUUACUGGACUGUAACUGACGUUGAGGCUCGAAAGCGUGGGGAGCAAACAGGAUUAGAUACCCCAGUAGUC
This 443-nucleotide ribosomal RNA is filed under the name uncultured bacterium. RNAcentral's name for it is "partial 16S ribosomal RNA". It matches the Rfam family "Bacterial small subunit ribosomal RNA", at positions 338 to 795 of the family's 1533-position model. The record is from RNAcentral.